This 209-nucleotide ribosomal RNA is filed under the name uncultured bacterium. RNAcentral's name for it is "partial 16S ribosomal RNA". It matches the Rfam family "Bacterial small subunit ribosomal RNA", at positions 568 to 775 of the family's 1533-position model. The record is from RNAcentral.
CGUGUAGGCGGGAAAUUAAGUCAGGUGUGAAAUCCAUGGGCUCAACUCAUGAACUGCACUUGAUACUGGUUUUCUUGAGUUCGGGAGAGGAGAGCGGAAUUCCCGGUGUAGCGGUGAAAUGCGUAGAUAUCGGGAAGAACACCAGUGGCGAAGGCGGCUCUCUGGCCUAGAACUGACGCUAAGGCGCGAAAGCGUAGGGGAGCGGAACG